Molecule: non-coding RNA, 235 nt
Filed under: Anaerolineae bacterium
Lineage: Bacteria; Bacillati; Chloroflexota; Anaerolineae
Description: GlcN6P sequence
Rfam family: glmS glucosamine-6-phosphate activated ribozyme aptamer
About the family: This entry contains a glucosamine-6-phosphate activated ribozyme that is found in the mRNA for GlmS. GlmS is an enzyme that uses fructose-6-phosphate and glutamine to generate glucosamine-6-phosphate.
Source: RNAcentral
UGGGGAGGAUCAGCGCAAGGCCCCGAGAUCAUCGGGGUGACGAGGACGAGGGUUCCCUACUGCGAGGUGGGGUCAACCGGAUAAUGCUGACGGCUCCCAACCGUCACACCGGGAAAAUCGAGAGAUCAGCGGAUGCCCUCCGGGCGUGCCACGGCCCGAAACUUCCCCUCCAUUAAAUCCUACAGGUAAUACCAUGUUGGUAACAGCGUGGACAAAACUGUUGGGAGUGGCGAUC